Molecule: ribosomal RNA, 473 nt
Filed under: uncultured bacterium
Lineage: Bacteria
Description: bacterial SSU rRNA
Rfam family: Bacterial small subunit ribosomal RNA
Source: RNAcentral
CUACUCGACUCCUACGGGGAGGCACAGUGGGGAAUAUUGCACAAUGGGCGCAAGCCUGAUGCAGCCAUGCCGCGUGUAUGAAGAAGGCCUUCGGGUUGUAAAGUACUUUCAGCAGUGAGGAAGGUGGAUAUGUUAAUAGCAUAUUCAUUUGACGUUAGCUGCAGAAGAAGCACCGGCUAACUCCGUGCCAGCAGCCGCGGUAAUACGGAGGGUGCGAGCGUUAAUCGGAAUUACUGGGCGUAAAGCGCAUGCAGGUGGUUUGUUAAGUCAGAUGUGAAAGCCCGGGGCUCAACCUCGGAAUUGCAUUUGAAACUGGCAAACUAGAGUACUGUAGAGGGGGGUAGAAUUUCAGGUGUAGCGGUGAAAUGCGUAGAGAUCUGAAGGAAUACCGGUGGCGAAGGCGGCCCCCUGGACAGAUACUGACACUCAGAUGCGAAAGCGUGGGGAGCAAACAGGAUUAGAUACCCUGGUAG